GACGAACGCUGGCGGCGUGCUUAACACAUGCAAGUCGAACGGAAAGGCCCUUCUUUUGUGGGGUGCUCGAGUGGCGAACGGGUGAGUAACACGUGAGUAACCUGCCCUUGACUUUGGGAUAACUUCAGGAAACUGGGGCUAAUACCGGAUAGGAGCUCCUGUUGCAUGGUGGGGGUGGGAACGUUUCGGCGGUUGGGGAUGGACGCGCGGCUUAUGAGCUUGUUGGUGGGGUAGUGGCUUACCAAGGCUUUGACGGGUAGCCGGCCUGAGAGGGUGACCGGCCACAUUGGGACUGAGAUAGGGCCCAGACUCCUACGGGAGGCAGCAGUGGGAAAUAUUGCACAAUGGGCGGAAGCCUGAUGCAGCAACGGCGCGUGCGGGAUGACGGCCUUCGGGGUGUAAACCGCUUUCGCCUGUGACGAAGCGUGAGUGACGGUAAUGGGUAAAGAAGCACCGGCUAACUACGUG
RNAcentral lists this ribosomal RNA (468 nucleotides) under uncultured bacterium. RNAcentral describes it as "partial 16S ribosomal RNA". It matches the Rfam family "Bacterial small subunit ribosomal RNA", at positions 28 to 507 of the family's 1533-position model. The record is from RNAcentral.